GGGACAACUGAGGGACUCAUAUGCAGCUAUUACAGAAGGUUCUGAUGUGCAAGAAGGAAAAAUGAUGCAUUAAGAGCCAUUUUUGAAAAGAAUGAAGAUGUUUACAUGUCUUAUUUUGCCUAAAUAUAUAUAUUUUUUCAUUUAGUACUGCCCUUCAGAAGCUACAUGCUUGCAUGUUUCCCAGAAUAUACAAAGCAAGUUACAUUUACCCUGAUCUUCAAAUUCAAAAAGUUUUCACCCCCCAGCUCUUAAUACAUCGGUUUUCCUUCUGGAGCAUCAGUGAGCGUUUGAACCUUCUGUAAUAGUUGCAUGAGUCCCUAAGUUGUCCUCAAGGUGAAAAGAUGGAUCUCAAAAUCAUACAGUCAUUGGAAAGGGUACAAAUACAUAAAAAUGCUGAAAAAGCAAAGAAUUUGUGGAACCUGAAGGAUUUUUUUGAAGUAACUUUUCACCCGUGAACAACUAUCACUGAACAAAAAAACAAAACAAACAACAGCUGUGGAUCAUUCAGGUAACAACACAGUAUUAAGAAUCAAGUGUAUGUAAACUUUUGAACAGCGUAAUUUUUAGAAAUUCAAUAUAUGUAAAUGUCUUAUAUGUGAAAUAUCUUAUUCAGGUCAGUACUAAAUAAAAAAAAUAACGUGUUUUGUAUGAUCCCUCUUAUUUUGGUAAAAUAAUGAACACUUUGCAGAUUCUGCAAGGUGUAUGUCAACUUUUGACCUCGAAAGAGCAUUAAACAGGUUUGUAAUGACAUGAGAGUGAGUAAAUGAUUUUUGAAAUCAUUUUUGGUGAACUAUCCCUUUAUUCUGUAACCCAAUGCAAACUUAUUAUCAAACGCACAGAUUUAAAAUGCCUGGCUGUGUCCGACGUGUGUUCUAAGCCGUCAUAUCCAUAAAAUUAAAUUUUUUUGUUGUUAAACUAAUUAUGAAUGUAUCUUUUAACUGUUUCUAUGGCCUACAUUUAUUUCCAGCAGUAACUGUCGCUGUGCUUUACUGCAUACUCAAAUCAAGGGUCUUAUUUUUCUGGAUGUUCACGCAAAAGACCCCCUCCCGCCCCCCGUGCAUCCUGUAGCACGAGCGAUGUGCUUAGCUUGUCGAAAUAUAUCUUCUAUACAUAUUCAUAGUGAUUAUAUAUGUCUUCCUAGUGGGAAAAAUGUAAAGUAGUUCUGAAUUGUGAUUAUAUUUACAGCGUAUACAUGCCAUAUCUAAAGUGCACUGAAGAGCUUUAUCCUCUAGGCUUUCAAACGCACACUUUUCGAGUGGUAUUUGUUCGUGUGAGGGUCACGGCGGCUCCUCUCAUUCAUCAAUACAUGUGCUUUCAGUUCAUCUGAUCCAAAGCUCACGACAGAACUGCUGUAUUUAACAAAUGUGUUGUGUGUGUGUGUGUUUGAUUUGGUGGGUUCCUCCUUCAGGAUGUUGGUCAUGCUUCUUUCUUUGGUGCAAUGUGUACUUACUCGCUCAAUGAAAUCGUAUUUUUUAAUUUCGAUGAACAGGCUGUUGAUAAAUCUAUUUAUUGUUGUGUGGAGGAAUACUGUGCUGUAUUUUGGAGUGCGCCGUCUGUUUCUGUGUAUUUUAGCUGUUCGUGUGAGUGCGCUUGCGUUGUCAUAUUGAGGGAUUCGGAUAUUGUACGAGUCGGCUGACCCCAGUCAUUAUAGCAUUAUGUCUUCAGACUGUUUUAGAGAGAAAUGUUUAUCAAAUCUAGUAUAAUCUUGAGAGGACAGCAGACUGAACACAAAAAGACGUGUAAGUUUUGAAACGAUGCCUUGUUGAUUAAAAGUCUCAAACGUUUAAAGGCCCCAAAGGCAUUUAUUUGAUUCUGGGGAAGCAUAUCAUGGUUCAGCCUCAGUUGUUUUUGUUAAUUGUAUAGCAUUCCAGACUGUACUGAUGCAUUAUGGAUGAAUGAUCAGCCUUCAGGCACUUAUUUUAUGCGUGCAGUUGUUUUACUCAUGUUAUGCAGGUUUUUAAAUGUCCCACGAGGGCAUAAUGAAAUGAUUGAUUCUUGGUUAAAGUGUAUGUAUUUCAGGAAAGCAGUAUUUUACUUGCGUUUUUGUUCCUUGUUUACAUUUUAGGUACCAAUUUAUCAUUUGCAUAGCUGUUUAAAUGUUUGGCUGGGACGUGUUGAGCAACAUAUUUUUGCUUUGAGCAUUACAGAUUUAUUUUGAAGCUGAAAAGCACUGGAAAGUUUGUUUUUGGGGUUUGGUUGUGGAAGGGGUCAGAAGAAGCCAGCCAGCAAGAUUAAUGCAUGUGAAAACCAUUCCAAAAUGCAUUCCAAAGCACUAACUGUGAAUAUCGCCAGAAUACAGACAAGUAUCAGGUUGUGCAUAAUAUAUCUAUUUUUUUUCUUUCGAUGACUGAUGAACACAAUGUAACCACUUAACAUUCAAAGGCAUUAGAAGUCAUGUGUUCCGUAUGUAAUGAAAGCGUUGAACCUGACAUUGCUAGCGCAACUUGAGAAGCAAGGUUUUAUAGGAAUUAACUCCUUUUGUGAAGUUAAUGUUCCUUUGUAGCUUUUAGCCCAGUAGUAAACAGAAGUCUGUGGUAUUAACCUUAUAUGUAUGUAUACACAAACCACAAAACUGCAAUCCGUAACGAGUACUCGAUCUGUAAUUUAAGUGCAUACCAAAAGUGCACAUUUAUGUAUGGAGCAAUUGAUGUUGUAUGUAUGCAAUAAUAAAUGUAAUUCAACAUGAAA
This is a long non-coding RNA of Labeo rohita (rohu), 2688 nucleotides long. RefSeq lists it as uncharacterized. The transcript has 2 exons. The record is from RefSeq and is a predicted model, not a curated record. NCBI's taxonomy places the organism in Eukaryota, Metazoa, Chordata, Actinopteri, Cypriniformes, Cyprinidae.